This 468-nucleotide ribosomal RNA is filed under the name uncultured bacterium. RNAcentral's name for it is "partial 16S ribosomal RNA". It matches the Rfam family "Bacterial small subunit ribosomal RNA", at positions 28 to 507 of the family's 1533-position model. The record is from RNAcentral.
GACGAACGCUGGCGGCGGGCUUAACACAUGCAAGUCGAGCGGAAAGGCUCUGCUUUCGUGGGGUGCCGGAGUGGCAAAGGGGGGGAAAGCACGUGAGUAACCUGCCUAUGACUGUGGGAUAACUGCAAGAAACUGGGACUAACACCGGGUAGGAGCUCCUGCUGCAGGGGGGGGGUUGGAGAGUUUCGGCGGAUGGGGCUGGACUCGGGGCUUGUCAGCUUGUGGGCGGGGUCGUGGCUUACCACAGCAUUGGCGGGUAGCGGGCCUGGAAGGGUGGCCGGCCACAUUGGGACUGAGAUACGGCCCAGACCCCUACGGGAGGCAACGGUGGGGAAUAUUGUACAGUGGGCGGAAGCCUGAUGCGGCAACGCCGCGUGCGGGAUGACGGCCAUCGGGUUGUGAAGCGCUGUCGCUUUAGACGAAGCGUGAGUGACGGUAAUGGGUGAAGAAGCCCCGGCUAACUACGUG